AGAGUUUGAUCCUGGCUCAGGAUGAACGCUAGCUAUAGGCUUAACACAUGCAAGUCGAGGGGCAGCAUGGUCUUAGCUUGCUAAGGCCGAUGGCGACCGGCGCACGGGUGAGUAACGCGUAUCCAACCUGCCUUACACUCUUGGACAGCCUUCUGAAAGGGAGAUUAAUACAAGAUGUUAUCAUGAGUAAGCAUUUUCGCAUGAUUAAAGGUUUACCGGUGUAAGAUGGGGAUGCGUUCCAUUAGAUAGUAGGCGGGGUAACGGCCCACCUAGUCUUCGAUGGAUAGGGGUUCUGAGAGGAAGGUCCCCCACAUUGGAACUGAGACACGGUCCAAACUCCUACGGGAGGCAGCAGUGAGGAAUAUUGGUCAAUGGACGAGAGUCUGAACCAGCCAAGUAGCGUGAAGGAUGAAGGUUCUAUGGAUUGUAAACUUCUUUUAUACGGGAAUAAACGGAUCCACGUGUGGAUUUUUGCAUGUACCGUAUGAAUAAGGAUCGGCUAACUCCGUGCCAGCAGCCGCGGUAAUACGGAGGAUCCGAGCGUUAUCCGGAUUUAUUGGGUUUAAAGGGAGCGUAGAUGGGUUGUUAAGUCAGUUGUGAAAGUUUGCGGCUCAACCGUAAAAUUGCAAUUGAUACUGGCAGUCUUGAGUACAGUUGAGGUAGGCGGAAUUCGUGGUGUAGCGGUGAAAUGCUUAGAUAUCACGAAGAACUCCGAUUGCGAAGGCAGCUUACUAACCUGUAACUGACAUUGAUGCUCGAAAGUGUGGGUAUCAAACAGGAUUAGAUACCCUGGUAGUCCACACGGUAAACGAUGAAUACUCGCUGUAGGCGAUAUACAGUCUGCGGCCAAGCGAAAGCAUUAAGUAUUCCACCUGGGGAGUACGCCGGCAACGGUGAAACUCAAAGGAAUUGACGGGGGCCCGCACAAGCGGAGGAACAUGUGGUUUAAUUCGAAGCAACGCGAAGAACCUUACCUAGACUUGACAUCUUCUGCAUUACCCUGUAAUGGGGGAAGUUCCUUCGGGAACAGAAUGACAGGUGGUGCAUGGUUGUCGUCAGCUCGUGUCGUGAGAUGUUGGGUUAAGUCCCGCAACGAGCGCAACCCCUAUUGUUAGUUGCUACCAUUAAGUUGAGCACUCUAGCGAGACUGCCCGGGUUAACCGGGAGGAAGGUGGGGAUGACGUCAAAUCAUCAUGCCCCUUAUGUCUAGGGCUACACACGUGCUACAAUGGCAAGUACAGAGAGAUGCGAUACCGCGAGGUGGAGCUAAACUUCAAAACUUGUCUCAGUUCGGAUUGUAGGCUGAAACUCGCCUACAUGAAGCUGGAGUUACUAGUAAUCGCGAAUCAGCAUGUCGCGGUGAAUACGUUCCCGGGCCUU
RNAcentral lists this ribosomal RNA (1380 nucleotides) under uncultured bacterium. Its description in RNAcentral is "bacterial SSU rRNA". It matches the Rfam family "Bacterial small subunit ribosomal RNA", at positions 8 to 1382 of the family's 1533-position model. The record is from RNAcentral.